This is a long non-coding RNA of Hyalella azteca, 588 nucleotides long. RefSeq lists it as uncharacterized. The transcript has 2 exons. The record is from RefSeq and is a predicted model, not a curated record. Lineage: Eukaryota; Metazoa; Arthropoda; Malacostraca; Amphipoda; Hyalellidae.
UUGUUGCAAGACGCCAUGACUCGCAACGUGACGGUCUGCGAGAAGCCUGGUGCUAGAGUCAUGAGUGAGACCAAGCUGAGGGCUCUGGAGAUGAAAGACUUCUUUGCUGUCUUCGCUAUUUUCCUCGGAGGCAUGAUUGCGUCUGCCAUAAUCUUCGUUAUGGAAGUGAUUCUACAUUCUGCUACACGAAAUACAACUGGCACGAGACCUGAUGGUUCAUGGUAGAAUAUUAGGACAUUUGCAUGGAAGACUCCAGAAUUGAAUCCCCAAACAAAACCGACCUAGAACUAUCAAGUUGACUUUAACGCAAGGUACUAUACAUGGAGCAAAGCAGACUGACUCUCAAGAUCCUUGAUAUUUACAGCACUGACUUCUCAUUGGACUGGUGCGAAAGUUUUACAUGAAAUUCUACUAAAUUCAUUAUUAGACCUAGAAAAAAUGAUUGCUAUUCCGAACUAAAUUCCGCAAUUGAACGAAUCCUGGGCGCGUUCCCAAAGCUCUUAAAACGAUGUCUGUUUUACAUUGUGAAUGUAUUUUCCAGCUGUCAUAAAAGCUCGGGCGUUAUAUUGUAAUUACAGGCUCUGCAGA